Non-coding RNA from Ahaetulla prasina, 513 nucleotides. The record is from the annotation of a RefSeq genome assembly. NCBI's taxonomy places the organism in Eukaryota, Metazoa, Chordata, Lepidosauria, Squamata, Colubridae.
AAGUUUGUGCACUUUCCUGAAUUCUUUCUUCUCAACUCCCUCCAUUCAUUCCAGGGAGCGAAAAUGAUCCCAUGGCUGAAUUUGAUGCCCUUGUUAGUGCUCCUCCAAGGAGUCCAAUCUCAAGUCCAGUUGGUGGAGUCCGGAGGGGCUGUGAGAAGACCUGGGGAGUCCCUCCGUCUCUCCUGCCAAGCCUCUGGAUUCACCUUCAGCACCUCUUACAUGCACUGGGUGAGACAGGCUCCUGGGAAAGGCCUGGAAUGGGUGGCCUACAUUAGUACACAUUCAACUCCAAUUAGCUAUUCAGAUAAAGUCAAGGGACGCUUCACCAUCUCCAGGGACGAUUCCCGCAGCCAGCUGUAUCUGCAAAUGAACAAUCUCAAACUAGAGGACACAGCUGUCUAUUACUGUGCAAGAGACACAGUGAGAGGAAGUGGGUCUGAUGCCAAGCAAAAACCUCCUCUUCUUCUGAGCAGCUUUCCAAAUCGAAUCAGAAAGUCAAAUUUGUGUAUUUAA